This 313-nucleotide unclassified non-coding RNA is filed under the name plant metagenome. Its description in RNAcentral is "partial contains 5.8S ribosomal RNA, internal transcribed spacer 2, and large subunit ribosomal RNA". The stretch from base 1 to 105 matches the Rfam family "5.8S ribosomal RNA", at positions 50 to 154 of the family's 154-position model. The record is from RNAcentral.
GAAAUGCGAUAAGUAAUGAGAAUUGCAGAAUUCCGUGAAUCAUCGAAUCUUUGAACGCACAUUGCGCCCUCUGGCAUUCCGGGGGGCAUGCCUGUCCGAGCGUCAUUACGCACCCUCAAGCCCGGCUUGUGUGAUGGGCCCCGGCGUCUCGUUCGCGAGACGGGCCCGAAAGGCAGCGGCGGCGUCGACCCGAUGAGCCCGAGCGUAUGGGGACUUCUGUCACACGUUCGCGGUGCGGACCGGCGCCUGCUUUGACUUUUCUGAUUAUCCAGGUUGACCUCGGAUCAGGUAGGGAUACCCGCUGAACUUAAGC